This 447-nucleotide ribosomal RNA is filed under the name uncultured bacterium. RNAcentral's name for it is "bacterial SSU rRNA". It matches the Rfam family "Bacterial small subunit ribosomal RNA", at positions 355 to 825 of the family's 1533-position model. The record is from RNAcentral.
UGGGGAAUAUUGGACAAUGGGCGAAAGCCUGAUCCAGCAAUGCCGCGUGAGUGAUGAAGGCCUUAGGGUCGUAAAGCUCUUUUACCCGGGAUGAUAAUGACAGUACCGGGAGAAUAAGCUCCGGCUAACUCCGUGCCAGCAGCCGCGGUAAUACGGAGGGAGCUAGCGUUGUUCGGAAUUACUGGGCGUAAAGCGUACGUAGGCGGUUAUUCAAGUCAGAGGUGAAAGCCCGGGGCUCAACCCCGGAACUGCCUUUGAAACUAGAUAGCUAGAAUCUUGGAGAGGUCAGUGGAAUUCCGAGUGUAGAGGUGAAAUUCGUAGAUAUUCGGAAGAACACCAGUGGCGAAGGCGACUGACUGGACAAGUAUUGACGCUGAGGUACGAAAGCGUGGGGAGCAAACAGGAUUAGAUACCCCCGUAGUCCCUGAGCGGGCUGGCAAGGCGCAU